RNAcentral lists this ribosomal RNA (468 nucleotides) under uncultured bacterium. RNAcentral's name for it is "partial 16S ribosomal RNA". It matches the Rfam family "Bacterial small subunit ribosomal RNA", at positions 28 to 507 of the family's 1533-position model. The record is from RNAcentral.
GACGAACGCUGGCGGCGUGCUUAACACAUGCAAGUCGAACGGUGAAGCUCCAGCUUGCUGGAGUGGAUCAGUGGCGAACGGGUGAGUAACACGUGAGCAACCUGCCCCAGACUCUGGAAUAAGCGCUGGAAACGGCGUCUAAUACUGGAUACGAGAUCAAGCCGCAUGGUUAUGGUUUGGAAAGUUUUUCGGUUUGGGAUGGGCUCGCGGCCUAUCAGCUUGUUGGUGGGGUAAUGGCUCACCAAGGCGACGACGGGUAGCCGGCCUGAGAGGGCGACCGGCCACACUGGGACUGAGACACGGCCCAGACUCCUACGGGAGGCAGCAGUGGGGAAUAUUGCACAAUGGGCGAAAGCCUGAUGCAGCGACGCCGCGUGAGGGAUGACGGCCUUCGGGUUGUAAACCUCUUUCAGCAGGGAAGAAGCGAAAGUGACGGUACCUGCAGAAGAAGCACCGGCUAACUACGUG